This 128-nucleotide ribosomal RNA is filed under the name Diploastrea heliopora. Its description in RNAcentral is "partial 5.8S ribosomal RNA". It matches the Rfam family "5.8S ribosomal RNA", at positions 1 to 127 of the family's 154-position model. Rfam says of the family: 5.8S ribosomal RNA (5.8S rRNA) is a component of the large subunit of the eukaryotic ribosome. The record is from RNAcentral. Lineage: Eukaryota; Metazoa; Cnidaria; Anthozoa; Scleractinia; Diploastraeidae.
CAACUUUUGACGGUGGAUCUCUUGGCUCACGCAUCGAUGAAGAACGCAGCCAGCUGCGAUAAGUAGUGUGAAUUGCAGAAUUCAGUGAAUCAUCGAAUCUUUGAACGCAAAUGGCGCUCUUGGGUUCU